Molecule: long non-coding RNA, 931 nt
Organism: Portunus trituberculatus (swimming crab)
Lineage: Eukaryota; Metazoa; Arthropoda; Malacostraca; Decapoda; Portunidae
Exons: 4
Source: RefSeq, a predicted model, not a curated record
CGCCUUUGGUUUUGGUGGGACACGGCCGUGAUGGCUAGUUGGGUGUGGUACAAGCUGGGUGAUGGGUAGGAGAGAAUUCAUCGGCCGAUGGCGAUCGUUUCAUGGCUGUGCAUUCUUACUGAUUACUUGGCUGGGGGUGCAGUGUGCUGGACUUGUACUGUGUGGAGCCAAUGGAGUUGAAACUUUCAAUAAAGUGUUACAACACGUGGUUUCCAGUGCUACCCCGAGCCAAUCACAGUACAGUUAUUACCAGUCAUAGUCCGGUCCGCAAGUUUUUGUGUCAGCUGUGUGGCGCUCCUCUCGUCCAGUCAAUGUAGUGGUGAAGGAGUGCACAGUACGGAGGGAGGUCACGGCACAUGGCUAGAAGCAGCAGCAGCAGCAGCAGCAGAAGGAAGUUCACUUCCAUCUCCCCAACGCCUUUGGUUUUGGAGUUUAUGGUGAUAAGUACGAAAGUUUGUAGAAAAGGAUGAAUUGGAAAGAUUAGAUUGUCGUGUUUUGUUAAUGAUGGUGUAAAAAUGUGCGAAAAUGGAAUAUUUGAUUUCAAAAGGAUAAAUGAUCAGGUUUUCUCCCCAACGCCUUUGUUUCUAGGAGUCUGUGGUGAUGAGUGUGAAAGUUUGUAGAAAAGGAUGAAAUGGAAAGAGUAGACUGUCAUGUUUAGUUAGUGAUGGACUGAUGGUAUAGAAUUAGUGUGCAAAAAUAGAAUGAUGAGUGAUUUCAAAAGGAUAUUCAUGUGAUUUUUUUUUUCAAUUCAGUUUGUUUUGCUCUUGAUCUUGAGUAUUUGUGAUCAGUGGCCGUCCUAUACGUACAUGUACAUACAUUUACUUUACCACAUAGCGGCUCCUUUUCUUACAUAUUUUUAUUCACGAUGAAUUCUUAAUGAGGAAGUCUUGGCUACUUAAACUCUGACUGUGAAAGAUAUUAUGAGACUCGU